CGGGAAUUUUGGGCAAUGGGCGAAAGCCUGACCCAGCAACGCCGCGUGAGGGAUGAAGUAUUUCGGUAUGUAAACCUCGAAAGAAUGGGAAGAAUAAAUGACGGUACCAUUUAUAAGCUCCGGUUAACUACGUGCCAGCAGCCGCGGUAAUACGUAGGGAGCAAGCGUUGUUCGGAUUUACUGGGCGUAAAGGGCGCGUAGGCGGCGCGGUAAGUCACUUGUGAAAUCUCUGAGCUUAACUCAGAACGGCCAAGUGAUACUGCUGUGCUAGAGUGCGGAAGAGGCAACCGGAAUUCUUGGUGUAGCGGUGAAAUGCGUAGAUAUCAAGAGGAACACCUGAGGCGAAGGCGGGCUGCUGGGCCGACACUGACGCUGAUGCGCGAAAGCCAGGGGAGCAAACG
RNAcentral lists this ribosomal RNA (401 nucleotides) under uncultured bacterium. RNAcentral describes it as "bacterial SSU rRNA". It matches the Rfam family "Bacterial small subunit ribosomal RNA", at positions 356 to 774 of the family's 1533-position model. The record is from RNAcentral.